Molecule: ribosomal RNA, 282 nt
Filed under: uncultured prokaryote
Description: partial 16S ribosomal RNA
Rfam family: Bacterial small subunit ribosomal RNA
Source: RNAcentral
UACGUAGGGGCUAGCGUUAUCCGGAUUUACUGGGCGUAAAGGGUGCGUAGGUGGUUUCUUAAGUUAGAGGUGAAAGGCUACGGCUCAACCGUAGUAAGCCUUUGAAACUGGGAAACUUGAGUGCAGGAGAGGAGAGUGGAAUUCCUAGUGUAGCGGUGAAAUGCGUAGAUAUUAGGAGGAACACCAGUUGCGAAGGCGGCUCUCUGGACUGUAACUGACACUGAGGCACGAAAGCGUGGGGAGCAAACAGGAUUAGAUACCCCUGUAGUCCCUGAGCGGGCU